UGGGGAAUAUUGGACAAUGGGCGAAAGCCUGAUCCAGCAAUGCCGCGUGUGUGAAGAAGGCCUGCGGGUUGUAAAGCACUUUUGGCAGGGAAGAAAAGCACGGGUCUAACACGCUCGUGUAUUGACGUCACCUGCAGAAGAAGCACCGGCUAACUCUGUGCCAGCAGCCGCGGUAAUACAGAGGGUGCAAGCGUUAAUCGGAAUUACUGGGCGUAAAGCGCGCGUAGGCGGUCGAGUAAGUUGGGUGUGAAAUCCCCGGGCUUAACCUGGGAAUUGCAUUCGAUACUGCUUGGCUAGAGUGUGGAAGAGGGAAGCGGAAUUUCCGGUGUAGCGGUGAAAUGCGUAGAUAUCGGAAGGAACACCAGUGGCGAAGGCGGCUUCCUGGUCCAACACUGACGCUGAGGCGCGAAAGCGUGGGGAGCGAACAGG
This 429-nucleotide ribosomal RNA is filed under the name uncultured bacterium. RNAcentral describes it as "bacterial SSU rRNA". It matches the Rfam family "Bacterial small subunit ribosomal RNA", at positions 355 to 776 of the family's 1533-position model. The record is from RNAcentral.